RNAcentral lists this small RNA (85 nucleotides) under Epilithonimonas lactis. RNAcentral describes it as "Chryseobacterium halperniae Flavo-1 RNA". It matches the Rfam family "Flavo-1 RNA". Lineage: Bacteria; Pseudomonadati; Bacteroidota; Flavobacteriia; Flavobacteriales; Weeksellaceae. The record is from RNAcentral.
AACUAGCCCUGAUGGUAGCGAAAAUCCCACAGCAAGCGAUGGGAAAGCAUGGCGCGAGGAAUUGCAGCGGACAGCAGGUUCCCGG